GGAAAUUUAUUUGUUACAAAAAAAUCGUAAAAAAGAAUUAUGGAAAAAAAGCAGUGAUAAUACAAGUUGUUGAUUUAAAAAUGACAUUGAUUUAUUGGUACUUAGGUACAAGUAUGCAAAUUAACUGGACUAAUAAAAAGUCGACGCUGGAGGGAGCUAAAAUCAAUGUGGUGUCGCUGUCCUGUGUCUUGGUUAUUGUCUUAUGUUGUGGCUCGUCCUGGUUGGAAGACUGUUGACUGUUGUGCACGUUGUGGUUUUUGUCAUCAUCUCAUCUCUUUUUUACUUAAUUACUACAUUGUGUUUUACUUACAAAUUUGUUAAGUUGUUCAAGUUAACAUAUUUAUUUCUUUAUAUAAUUAAUAUUGUUUACCAUAAUAAAAGUUUUUUGAAGAUGACUGAUGGUUGGUGGAGUUUCCGAACUGUAAAAAAUUGGCUGGUAGAACACUAACUGAAGGUCACGCUAACGUUUAGCUUUGACAAAAAGGGUCAAGCAGGGGGGUUUGAACCUCGACACGAU
This 517-nucleotide long non-coding RNA is filed under the name Androctonus crassicauda. The record is from RNAcentral. Lineage: Eukaryota; Metazoa; Arthropoda; Arachnida; Scorpiones; Buthidae.